UACGUAGGGGGCAAGCGUUGUCCGGAUUUAUUGGGCGUAAAGAGCGUGUAGGCGGUUUGGUAGGUCCGCUGUGAAAACUCGAGGCUCAACCUCGAGACGUCGGUUGAAACCGUAUGGCUAGAGUCCGGAAGAGGAGAGUGGAAUUCCCGGUGUAGCGGUGAAAUGCGCAGAUAUCAGGAGGAACACCGGUGGCGAAGGCGGUUCUCUGGGCCUUACCUGACGCUGAGGAGCGAAAGCGUGGGGAGCAAACAGG
Molecule: ribosomal RNA, 253 nt
Filed under: uncultured bacterium
Lineage: Bacteria
Description: partial 16S ribosomal RNA
Rfam family: Bacterial small subunit ribosomal RNA
Source: RNAcentral